UGAGGAAUAUUGGUCAAUGGGCGGAAGCCUGAACCAGCCAUGCCGCGUGCAGGACGACGGCCCUACGGGUUGUAAACUGCUUUUCCGGGGGAAGAAUAACCCCCCUGCGGGGGGGGAUGCCGGUACCCCGGGAAUAAGGAUCGGCUAACUCCGUGCCAGCAGCCGCGGUAAUACGGAGGAUCCUAGCGUUAUCCGGAUUUACUGGGUUUAAAGGGUGCGUAGGCGGGCGUUUAAGUCCGCGGUGAAAGUCUGCGGCUCAACCGUAGGAUUGCCGUGGAUACUGGACGUCUUGGAUUCGGUCGGGGCGGGCGGAAUGCGUGGUGUAGCGGUGAAAUGCAUAGAUAUCACGCAGAACGCCGAUAGCGAAGGCAGCUCGCCGGGCCGAAAUCGACGCUGAGGCACGAAAGCGUGGGGAUCAAACAGG
This 424-nucleotide ribosomal RNA is filed under the name uncultured bacterium. RNAcentral describes it as "bacterial SSU rRNA". It matches the Rfam family "Bacterial small subunit ribosomal RNA", at positions 355 to 776 of the family's 1533-position model. The record is from RNAcentral.